CUUGAAACACGGACCAAGGAGUUUAUCGUGUACGCAAGUCAUUGGGUGAAUAAAACCCAAAGGCGAAAUAAAAGUAAAGAGUUGAGUUUAUGAAAAAGAAUUUAUUUCUUUUUUCAUUUCUCUCUUAAGGGAAGAUGAAAAUUUGAUUAAUAAUAUAUUUAUAUAUUGUUAAUUUAAAUUUUUCGCACUCCCAGGGCGCUUGUUUCACGCUUUGCGUGUCAAUGCGCACCUAGAGCGUACACGCUGAUACCCGAAAGAUGGUGAACUAUGCCUGGCCAGGACGAAGCCAGGGGAAACCCUGGUGGAGGUCCGCAGCGAUUCUGACGUGCAAAUCGAUCGUCGGAGCUGGGUAUAGGGGCGAAAGACCAAUCGAACCAUCUAGUAGCUGGUUCCCUCUGAAGUUUCCCUCAGGAUA
Molecule: ribosomal RNA, 415 nt
Filed under: Euagoras sp. CW-2009
Lineage: Eukaryota; Metazoa; Arthropoda; Insecta; Hemiptera; Reduviidae
Description: eukaryotic LSU rRNA
Rfam family: Eukaryotic large subunit ribosomal RNA
Source: RNAcentral